RNAcentral lists this ribosomal RNA (468 nucleotides) under uncultured bacterium. RNAcentral's name for it is "partial 16S ribosomal RNA". It matches the Rfam family "Bacterial small subunit ribosomal RNA", at positions 28 to 507 of the family's 1533-position model. The record is from RNAcentral.
GACGAACGCUGGCGGCGUGCUUAACACAUGCAAGUCGAACGGAAAGGCCCUGCUUUUGUGGGGUGCUCGAGUGGCGAACGGGUGAGUAACACGUGAGUAACCUGCCCUUGACUUUGGGAUAACUUCAGGAAACUGGGGCUAAUACCGGAUAGGAGCUCCUGCUGCAUGGUGGGGGUUGGAAAGUUUCGGCGGUUGGGGAUGGACUCGCGGCUUAUCGGCUUGUUGGUGGGGUAGUGGCUUACCAAGGCUUUGACGGGUAGCCGGCCUGAGAGGGUGACCGGCCACAUUGGGACUGAGAUACGGCCCAGAAUCCAACGGGAGGCAGCAGUGGGGAAUAUUGCACAAUGGGAGGAAGCCUGAUGCAGCAGCGCCGCGUGCGGGAUGACGGCCUUCGGGUUGUAAACCGCUUUCGCCUGUGACGAAGCGUGAGUGACGGUAAUGGGUAAAGAAGCACCGGCUAACUACGUG